This 292-nucleotide ribosomal RNA is filed under the name uncultured bacterium. RNAcentral's name for it is "partial 16S ribosomal RNA". It matches the Rfam family "Bacterial small subunit ribosomal RNA", at positions 505 to 796 of the family's 1533-position model. The record is from RNAcentral.
GUGCCAGCAGCCGCGGUAAGACGAAGGGGGCUAGCGUUGUUCGGAAUUACUGGGCGUAAAGCGCGUGUAGGCGGUUGUCCAAGUUGGAUGUGAAAGCCUUGAGCUUAACUCAAGAAAUGCAUUCAGGACUGGAUGACUAGAGGACCGGAGAGGAUAGUGGAAUUCCCAGUGUAGUGGUGAAAUACGUAGAGAUUGGGAAGAACACCAGUGGCGAAGGCGGCUAUCUGGACGGUUUCUGACGCUAAGACGCGAAAGCGUGGGGAGCAAACAGGAUUAGAUACCCUGGUAGUCC